This 218-nucleotide unclassified non-coding RNA is filed under the name uncultured Thelephoraceae. RNAcentral's name for it is "sequence contains ITS2". Lineage: Eukaryota; Fungi; Basidiomycota; Agaricomycetes; Thelephorales; Thelephoraceae. The record is from RNAcentral.
ACACCUCAACUCUCAUGGUUCGCCGUGAUGAGCUUGGACUCUGGGGGUUUUGCUGGCCUGCGGUCGGCUCCCCUCAAAUGAAUCAGCCUCCCAGUGUUUGGUGGCAUCACGGGUGUGAUAAAUAUCUACGCUCGCGGUUGUCUGCCAGGUAACCUUUGGCGACAAAGGUUCGCUGGAGCUCACAGAUGUCUCUCCUCGGCGAGGACAGCUUUUUGAAC